CUCGGUAACUAUUGGUGCCAAAUAUCUGUCUCCUCUGUGUAUUUGUAUAUCUUCUUUGGAGAAAUCUCUUCACAUACUUUUAUUGUUUUCAAAAUGAGUUGUCUUUUAUGACACUCACUUUUAAGAUUUCUUUAGAUAUUCUAGAUAUUUAGCUUUCAUUCAUCUUUCGCAAAUACCAUUUCCUGUUCUAUAAGCUGUUGCAGUUUGUGGUGGUACAUGAAUGUUUUUACUUUUGGAGUUCAGUGUUCCCAUUUUUUUCUUUUGUUGCAUGUAGCUUUGCUCUCAUAUUAAGCAAGUUUUUUGAUGAAAAAAUAAGGCUAGUGGAUGAAAAAAUAUAGCUGGUAGAUGAUAAAAGGGAAUUUUAAGCUCUGUGUGUGUGUGUGUGUGUGUGUGUGUUUUAAUGUAUUUGAUUUUUCCUUCCCCAACUAAUUCCAUCAUUCCUCAUAGGAAUCCAGGCAUGACAAAGAAAAGAUAGAAAAGAAAGAAAAACGGGAUAGUUCAGGAGGAAAGGAAGAGAAGAAACAAUAUCCUUUUUUUCUUGUUUAUAUUUCACUUACUCUAAUAGAAUGAUUUGAUACUGUUCAUAUUUAGACUUAAACCUUUCUUGUAUGUGGUGUAAGUAUGCAGGAGCUUAUUAUUUUUUAAGUGAUAUUUUUAGUUAACCCUCAGUGUAUGAUCUGAAAACAAGAGAUUCAAUCUUCUUGAUUUUUAAAAAAUAAUUCUGUAGUGACUGAGAUGUUUUAGGGCAUAAGUUUUAUAGAAUCUGUGUCUUUUUGUUGGUCUUAUCUCUUUGUAUAGUUACCAAGAAAACAUAAAAAGAGGAACAGUGACUCCCUUGGGCUCGGGAACAUAGUGACAAGAAUGACAGAAUGAAAUGACACAUAUGCAGAGUUCCUAGAGCUUGAGGUUACUAGGUUGAGCAGAGCCAAUUAAGUUUGGACACUAUUCUGCAUGCCCCAAAGUUGUUUUCCCUUAAUUUGUCAUCUACUCAUAAGUCCUCUGACAAGCACAGAUAAUGAACGCUUUCAACUAAGGGUGUGGACAGACUCCUAAGCUGAACGUCUCCCCUAGGAGGAUGCCAAAGCUCCAUGAGUCAUUUUCAGAAAGAUAUCUCAUAUAAUUAAGAGCUUCUGGUGCUGUCCAUUUUAUGGGAAUCUGCUUUAAGUCAGAAGAUGCAUACCCACCACCAUCCUUUUGACAAGACAUUCCAAAGUCACUGAUUUUUUCAGAACAUUAUUUUCACCUGAAGGCAAUUUCUUGGAGCAAGAUCCCUGUGCAUACAAUUUUUACUUGAGAUAUGCCAUCCAGAAGCAGCAUCUAAUGAGAAAUUCACUAACUGACUUUUAGUUCAUCCUUCUUUCUCAGAAAGGAAAGGAAAUUGCCUCGUGGAACCAAUUCCUUAAUGAUGUAGAUAGGUUGCCUUUGUGUGUGAACUCUGUUAAGUGUGAAAACAUUGGGAUGAUUAUGUUGCUUGGAGGGUUUUAGCUUCUUGUAAACAUUUUAAAUUUAAUUCCAGUUCUUGGGAAAGAUCUUUACGUUUGUUUGACAGCAACAACAAUUUUACGUUUUAAUGCAUCCUUAAAUAUGUCAUCAAAAGUUUCCUUGUCCUUAAGGAAUUCUCAUGGUGUGACAUCAUCUUGAUUGAGACCCCAUUU
RNAcentral lists this long non-coding RNA (1655 nucleotides) under Meriones unguiculatus (Mongolian gerbil). RNAcentral describes it as "lncRNA (ENSMUGG00000003601.1)". Lineage: Eukaryota; Metazoa; Chordata; Mammalia; Rodentia; Muridae. The record is from RNAcentral.